This 497-nucleotide ribosomal RNA is filed under the name uncultured bacterium. Its description in RNAcentral is "partial 16S ribosomal RNA". It matches the Rfam family "Bacterial small subunit ribosomal RNA", at positions 28 to 507 of the family's 1533-position model. The record is from RNAcentral.
GAUGAACGCUGGCGGCGUGCCUAAUACAUGCAAGUCGAGCGAACGGACGAGAAGCUUGCUUUUCUGAUGUUAGCGGCGGACGGGUGAGUAACACGUGGAUAACCUACCUAUAAGACUGGGAUAACUUCGGGAAACCGGAGCUAAUACCGGAUAAUAUUUUGAACCGCAUGGUUCAAAAGUGAGAGACGGUCUUGCUGUCACUUAUAGAUGGAUCCGCGCUGCAUUAGCUAGUUGGUAAGGUAACGGCUUACCAAGGCAACGAUGCAUAGCCGACCUGAGAGGGUGAUCGGCCACACUGGAACUGAGACACGGUCCAGACUCCUACGGGAGGCAGCAGUAGGGAAUCUUCCGCAAAGGGCGAAAGCCUGACGGAGCAACGCCGCGUGAGUGAUGAAGGUCUUCGGAUCGUAAAACUCUGUUAUUAGGGAAGAACAUAUGUGUAAGUAACUGUGCACAUCUUGACGGUACCUAAUCAGAAAGCCACGGCUAACUACGUG